Molecule: ribosomal RNA, 1350 nt
Filed under: endophytic bacterium 2B
Lineage: Bacteria
Description: bacterial SSU rRNA
Rfam family: Bacterial small subunit ribosomal RNA
Source: RNAcentral
UUGCUUCCUGGAUUAGUGGCGAACGGGUGAGUAACACGUGAGUAACCUGCCCUUGACUCUGGGAUAAGCGUUGGAAACGACGUCUAAUACCGGAUAUGACCUGUGACGGCAUCGUCUGCAGGUGGAAAGAAUUUUGGUCAAGGAUGGACUCGCGGCCUAUCAGGUAGUUGGUGAGGUAACGGCUCACCAAGCCGACGACGGGUAGCCGGCCUGAGAGGGUGACCGGCCACACUGGGACUGAGACACGGCCCAGACUCCUACGGGAGGCAGCAGUGGGGAAUAUUGCACAAUGGGCGAAAGCCUGAUGCAGCAACGCCGCGUGAGGGACGACGGCCUUCGGGUUGUAAACCUCUUUUAGUUGGGAAGAAGGGAGCUUGCUCUUGACGAUACCAGCAGAAAAAGCACCGGCUAACUACGUGCCAGCAGCCGCGGUAAUACGUAGGGUGCAAGCGUUGUCCGGAAUUAUUGGGCGUAAAGAGCUCGUAGGCGGUUUGUCGCGUCUGCUGUGAAAUCUGGGGGCUCAACCCCCAGCCUGCAGUGGGUACGGGCAGACUAGAGUGCGGUAGGGGAGAUUGGAAUUCCUGGUGUAGCGGUGGAAUGCGCAGAUAUCAGGAGGAACACCGAUGGCGAAGGCAGAUCUCUGGGCCGUUACUGACGCUGAGGAGCGAAAGCAUGGGGAGCGAACAGGAUUAGAUACCCUGGUAGUCCAUGCCGUAAACGUUGGGAACUAGAUGUAGGGGCCAUUCCACGGUUUCUGUGUCGCAGCUAACGCAUUAAGUUCCCCGCCUGGGGAGUACGGCCGCAAGGCUAAAACUCAAAGGAAUUGACGGGGGCCCGCACAAGCGGCGGAGCAUGCGGAUUAAUUCGAUGCAACGCGAAGAACCUUACCAAGGCUUGACAUAUACCGGAAACGUCCAGAGAUGGUCGCCCCGCAAGGUCGGUAUACAGGUGGUGCAUGGUUGUCGUCAGCUCGUGUCGUGAGAUGUUGGGUUAAGUCCCGCAACGAGCGCAACCCUCGUUCUAUGUUGCCAGCACGUUAUGGUGGGAACUCAUAGGAGACUGCCGGGGUCAACUCGGAGGAAGGUGGGGAUGACGUCAAAUCAUCAUGCCCCUUAUGUCUUGGGCUUCACGCAUGCUACAAUGGCUGAUACAAAGGGCUGCAAUACCGCGAGGUGGAGCGAAUCCCAAAAAGUCGGUCUCAGUUCGGAUUGAGGUCUGCAACUCGACCUCAUGAAGUCGGAGUCGCUAGUAAUCGCAGAUCAGCAACGCUGCGGUGAAUACGUUCCCGGGCCUUGUACACACCGCCCGUCAAGUCAUGAAAGUCGGUAACACCCGAAGCCGGGGCCCAAC